Molecule: ribosomal RNA, 254 nt
Filed under: uncultured bacterium
Lineage: Bacteria
Description: partial 16S ribosomal RNA
Rfam family: Bacterial small subunit ribosomal RNA
Source: RNAcentral
UACGGGGGGAGCAAGCGUUGUUCGGAUUUACUGGGCGUAAAGGGCGCGUAGGCGGCCACCGCAAGUCGACUGUGAAAUCUCCGGGCUUAACUCGGAAAGGUCAGCCGAUACUGCGGGGCUAGAGUGCAGAAGGGGCAACUGGAAUUCUCGGUGUAGCGGUGAAAUGCGUAGAUAUCGAGAGGAACACCUGCGGCGAAGGCGGGUUGCUGGGCUGACACUGACGCUGAACUGCGAAAGCUAGGGGAGCGAACGGG